GUGCGUGUGUUUUUUUUAUUUGACCCGAAACUAAGUGAUCUAGCUUUGACCAGGCUGAAGAAAGGGUAAAAGUUUUUGGAGGGCCGAACUGACGUCUGUUGCAAUAGACGCAGAUGAGUUGAGGCUAGGGGUGAAAGGCCAAUCAAACUUAGAGAUAGCUGGUUCUCCGCGAAAUUUAUUGAGGUAAAGCGUUCAAUGAGAGAGAAAGGGGGUAGAGCACUCAUUAGGUAAAGGGGAUCCAAAGUCUUACUAAACGUAUUGAAACUCCGAAUACUUUUCUUUUCUAUCUUGAGCAGACAGACUUAAAGUGCUAAGGUUUUAAGUCAAAAGGGAAACAGCCCAGACUGUCCGCUAAGGUCCCUAAACAUUUUGGAAGUGGAAAAAGCGUUUUAUAACGAAGACAGCUAGGAGAUUGGCUUGGAAGCAGCCAUUCUAUAAUGAAAGCGUAAUAGCUCACUAGUCGAGUUUAAAAGCACUGAGAAUGUAUCGGGGCUUCACAAAAUUACCCAAGCGACAGAUAUUAUUGGUAGCGGAGCGUUUUGUAGACCAUUGAAGAGGUUUUGUGAAAAACUUUGGAGGAUUCAAAAGUGAGAAUGCUGGCAUGAGUAACGACAAAUCAUGUGACAAUCAUGAUCGCCGUAAGUUCAAGGGUUUCUGCGUUCUGUUUUUCAUCGCAGAGUGAGUCGGUCUCUAAGUGUGUUUUUGAGAAAAAACCACGAUGAAACAAAUGAAAGAUGACGAAAUGCUAAGUAGAAAUCAAGAGUGUAUUGGAUGGCUUUGUGGUUUCUAUCAUUUCCAGGAAAACUCUUCAUAAACUGUGACCGUACCCGAAACCGACACUGGUGAACGAGUCGAAUAGACUAAGGCGUGGAGCGAACCAUAUUGAAGGAACUCGGCAAAUUUUUCCUGUACCUUUGGAAGAAAGGAAGCCAAUUUUGGUGACACAAAAAUGGGGGUGACGACUUUUUACUAAAAAAUUAGGACUCUGCAAAAUGGGAACAUGAUGUAUAGGGUCUGACGCCUGCCCGGUGCUUGAAGCUUAACCUGUAUACUGUUUUGGUAUAUUGAGAAGGCCUAGUAAACGGCGGUUGUAACUAUAACAAUCAUAAAGUAGCGAAAUUCAUUGCCAGCUAAUUCCUGGCCUGCAUGAAAGACGUAACGAUUGCCCCACUGUCUCCAGUAUGGACUCCGUGAAAUUGAACUCUCCGUGCAGAUGCGGAGAAUGUGCCCCAAGACGAGAAGACCCUAUGCAUCUUUACUGUACAUUUACACUGGAAAAAAGCUUGAAUUGUGUAGGAUAGGUGGGAGUUGUCAACACCCUUGAAAUACCACCCUUUUUAAGAGGAGUUCCUUAUUUGAAUAAUAUUCAAAAACACUGUAU
RNAcentral lists this ribosomal RNA (1381 nucleotides) under metagenome. RNAcentral describes it as "bacterial LSU rRNA". It matches the Rfam family "Bacterial large subunit ribosomal RNA", at positions 690 to 2259 of the family's 2925-position model. The record is from RNAcentral.